RNAcentral lists this ribosomal RNA (403 nucleotides) under uncultured bacterium. Its description in RNAcentral is "bacterial SSU rRNA". It matches the Rfam family "Bacterial small subunit ribosomal RNA", at positions 355 to 774 of the family's 1533-position model. The record is from RNAcentral.
UAGGGAAUAUUGCAAAAUGGGCGAAAGCCCGAUGCAGCAACGCCGCGUGGGCGAUGAAGGCCUUCGGGUCGUAAAGCCCUUUUUGAGGGGAUGAGGAAGGACAGUACCCUCAGAAUAAGCCUCGGCUAACUACGUGCCAGCAGCCGCGGUAAAACGUAGGAGGCGAGCGUUAUCCGGAUUUACUGGGCGUAAAGCGCGUGCAGGCGGAUUGGAGAGUUGGAUGUGAAAGCUCCCGGCUUAACUGGGAGAGGUCGUUCAAUACUUCCAGUCUUGAGUGCAGUAGAGGGCAGUGGAAUUCCGGGUGUCGUGGUGAAAUGCGUAGAUAUCCGGAGGAACACCAGUGGCGAAAGCGGCUUCCUGGACUGUAACUGACGCUCAGACGCGAAAGCUAGGGUAGCAAACG